RNAcentral lists this ribosomal RNA (543 nucleotides) under Vairimorpha ceranae. RNAcentral describes it as "SSU rRNA". It matches the Rfam family "Microsporidia small subunit ribosomal RNA", at positions 1 to 594 of the family's 1311-position model. The record is from RNAcentral. Lineage: Eukaryota; Fungi; Microsporidia; Nosematidae.
CCAGGUUGAUUCUGCCUGACGUAGACGCUAUUCCCUAAGAUUAACCCAUGCAUGUUUUUGACAUUUGAAAAAUGGACUGCUCAGUAAUACUCACUUUAUUUUAUGUAAAUUUUUGAUUAAUUAACUACGUUAAAGUGUAGAUAAGAUGUUUACAGUAAGAGUGAGACCUAUCAGCUAGUUGUUAAGGUAAUGGCUUAACAAGGCUGUGACGGGUAACGGUAUUACUUUGUAAUAUUCCGGAGAAGGAGCCUGAGAGACGGCUACUAAGUCUAAGGAUUGCAGCAGGGGCGAAACUUGACCUAUGGAUUUUAUCUGAGGCAGUUAUGGGAAGUAAUAUUAUAUUGUUUCAUAUUUUAAAAGUAUAUGAGGUGAUUAAUUGGAGGGCAAAUCAAGUGCCAGCAGCCGCGGUAAUACUUGUUCCAAGAGUGUGUAUGAUGAUUGAUGCAGUUAAAAAGUCCGUAGUUUAUUUUUUUAAGAAGCAAUAUGAGGUGUACUGUAUAGUUGGGGGAAAGAUGAAAUGUGACGACCCUGACUGGACGAACA